AGGGCGCACGGUGGAUGCCUUGGCACUAGAAGCCGAUGAAGGACGUUACUAACGACGAUAUGCUUUGGGGAGCUGUAAGUAAGCUUUGAUCCAGAGAUUUCCGAAUGGGGAAACCCAGCAUGAGUUAUGUCAUGUUAUCGAUAUGUGAAUACAUAGCAUAUCAGAAGGCACACCCGGAGAACUGAAACAUCUUAGUACCCGGAGGAAGAGAAAGAAAAUUCGAUUCCCUUAGUAGCGGCGAGCGAAACGGGAAGAGCCCAAACCAACAAGCUUGCUUGUUGGGGUUGUAGGACACUCUAUACGGAGUUACAAAGGACGACAUUAGACGAAUCAUCUGGAAAGAUGAAUCAAAGAAGGUAAUAAUCCUGUAGUCGAAAAUGUUGUCUCUCUUGAGUGGAUCCUGAGUACGACGGAGCACGUGAAAUUCCGUCGGAAUCUGGGAGGACCAUCUCCUAAGGCUAAAUACUCUCUAGUGACCGAUAGUGAACCAGUACCGUGAGGGAAAGGUGAAAAGCACCCCGGAAGGGGAGUGAAAUAGAACCUGAAACCGUGUGCUUACAAGUAGUCAGAGCCCGUUAAUGGGUGAUGGCGUGCCUUUUGUAGAAUGAACCGGCGAGUUACGAUUUGAUGCAAGGUUAAGCAGUAAAUGUGGAGCCGUAGCGAAAGCGAGUCUGAAUAGGGCGUUUAGUAUUUGGUCGUAGACCCGAAACCAGGUGAUCUACCCUUGGUCAGGUUGAAGUUCAGGUAACACUGAAUGGAGGACCGAACCGACUUACGUUGAAAAGUGAGCGGAUGAACUGAGGGUAGCGGAGAAAUUCCAAUCGAACCUGGAGAUAGCUGGUUCUCUCCGAAAUAGCUUUAGGGCUAGCCUCAAGUGAUGAUUAUUGGAGGUAGAGCACUGUUUGGACGAGGGGCCCCUCUCGGGUUACCGAAUUCAGACAAACUCCGAAUGCCAAUUAAUUUAACUUGGGAGUCAGAACAUGGGUGAUAAGGUCCGUGUUCGAAAGGGAAACAGCCCAGACCACCAGCUAAGGUCCCAAAAUAUAUGUUAAGUGGAAAAGGAUGUGGCGUUGCCCAGACAACUAGGAUGUUGGCUUAGAAGCAGCCAUCAUUUAAAGAGUGCGUAAUAGCUCACUAGUCGAGUGACACUGCGCCGAAAAUGUACCGGGGCUAAACAUAUUACCGAAGCUGUGGAUUGUCCUUUGGACAAUGGUAGGAGAGCGUUCUAAGGGCGUUGAAGCAUGAUCGUAAGGACAUGUGGAGCGCUUAGAAGUGAGAAUGCCGGUGUGAGUAGCGAAAGACGGGUGAGAAUCCCGUCCACCGAUUGACUAAGGUUUCCAGAGGAAGGCUCGUCCGCUCUGGGUUAGUCGGGUCCUAAGCUGAGGCCGACAGGCGUAGGCGAUGGAUAACAGGUUGAUAUUCCUGUACCACCUAUAAUCGUUUUAAUCGAUGGGGGGACGCAGUAGGAUAGGCGAAGCGUGCGAUUGGAUUGCACGUCUAAGCAGUAAGGCUGAGUAUUAGGCAAAUCCGGUACUCGUUAAGGCUGAGCUGUGAUGGGGAGAAGACAUUGAGUCUUCGAGUCGUUGAUUUCACACUGCCGAGAAAAGCCUCUAGAUAGAAAAUAGGUGCCCGUACCGCAAACCGACACAGGUAGUCAAGAUGAGAAUUCUAAGGUGAGCGAGCGAACUCUCGUUAAGGAACUCGGCAAAAUGACCCCGUAACUUCGGGAGAAGGGGUGCUCUUUAGGGUUAACGCCCAGAAGAGCCGCAGUGAAUAGGCCCAAGCGACUGUUUAUCAAAAACACAGGUCUCUGCUAAACCGUAAGGUGAUGUAUAGGGGCUGACGCCUGCCCGGUGCUGGAAGGUUAAGAGGAGUGGUUAGCUUCUGCGAAGCUACGAAUCGAAGCCCCAGUAAACGGCGGCCGUAACUAUAACGGUCCUAAGGUAGCGAAAUUCCUUGUCGGGUAAGUUCCGACCCGCACGAAAGGCGUAACGAUUUGGGCACUGUCUCAACGAGAGACUCGGUGAAAUCAUAGUACCUGUGAAGAUGCAGGUUACCCGCGACAGGACGGAAAGACCCCGUGGAGCUUUACUGUAGCCUGAUAUUGAAAUUCGGCACAGCUUGUACAGGAUAGGUAGGAGCCUUUGAAACGUGAGCGCUAGCUUACGUGGAGGCGCUGGUGGGAUACUACCCUAGCUGUGUUGGCUUUCUAACCCGCACCACUUAUCGUGGUGGGAGACAGUGUCAGGCGGGCAGUUUGACUGGGGCGGUCGCCUCCUAAAAGGUAACGGAGGCGCUCAAAGGUUCCCUCAGAAUGGUUGGAAAUCAUUCAUAGAGUGUAAAGGCAUAAGGGAGCUUGACUGCGAGACCUACAAGUCGAGCAGGGUCGAAAGACGGACUUAGUGAUCCGGUGGUUCCGCAUGGAAGGGCCAUCGCUCAACGGAUAAAAGCUACCCCGGGGAUAACAGGCUUAUCUCCCCCAAGAGUUCACAUCGACGGGGAGGUUUGGCACCUCGAUGUCGGCUCAUCGCAUCCUGGGGCUGUAGUCGGUCCCAAGGGUUGGGCUGUUCGCCCAUUAAAGCGGUACGCGAGCUGGGUUCAGAACGUCGUGAGACAGUUCGGUCCCUAUCCGUCGUGGGCGUAGGAAAUUUGAGAGGAGCUGUCCUUAGUACGAGAGGACCGGGAUGGACAUACCUCUGGUGUACCAGUUGUCGUGCCAACGGCAUAGCUGGGUAGCUAUGU
This 2742-nucleotide ribosomal RNA is filed under the name Staphylococcus aureus. RNAcentral's name for it is "bacterial LSU rRNA". It matches the Rfam family "Bacterial large subunit ribosomal RNA". The record is from RNAcentral. Lineage: Bacteria; Bacillati; Bacillota; Bacilli; Caryophanales; Staphylococcaceae.